Molecule: ribosomal RNA, 967 nt
Filed under: uncultured bacterium
Lineage: Bacteria
Description: bacterial SSU rRNA
Rfam family: Bacterial small subunit ribosomal RNA
Source: RNAcentral
AGAGUUUGAUCCUGGCUCAGAACGAACGUUGGCGGCGUGGAUUAGGCAUGCAAGUCGAACGAAUCCCAGCUGGGUAACUGGCUGGGGGAAGUGGCGAAAGGGGCAGUAAGGCGUGGGUAACCUACCUCGGGGACUGGGAUAGCCUUCCUAACGGAAGGGUAAUACCGGGCGAUCUGGCGAAGGGGCAUCUCUUUGCCAGGAAAUGAGUUUCGCCUCGGGAGGGGCUCACGUGGUAUUAGCUUGUUGGUGAGGUAACGGCUCACCAAGGCCAAGAUGCCUAGCAGGUGUGAGAGCACGACCUGCGCCACUGGCACUGAGACACUGGCCAGACUCCUACGGGAGGCUGCAGCCGAGAAUCUUCGGCAAUGGGCGCAAGCCUGACCGAGCGACGCCGCGUGUGCGAUGAAGGCCUUCGGGUUGUAAAGCACCGUCGAGGGGGAGAAAAGCCCGCAAGGGUUUGAUCGACCCCUGGAGGAAGCACGGGCUAAGUUCGUGCCAGCAGCCGCGGUAAGACGAACCGUGCGAACGUUGUUCGGAUUCACUGGGCUUAAAGGGCGCGUAGGCGGAUUGUCAAGUCGGGGGUGAAAUCUUUCAGCUCAACUGGAAAAGUGCCUCCGAUACUGAUGAUCUCGAGGGAGGUAGGGGCAUGUGGAACUUCCGGUGGAGCGGUGAAAUGCGUAGAUAUCGGAAGGAACGCCGGUGGCGAAAGCGACGUGCUGGACCUCUUCUGACGCUGAGGCGCGAAAGCUAGGGGAGCAAACGGGAUUAGAUACCCCGGUAGUCCUAGCCCUAAACGAUGGGUACUAGGUUGUGGACUUAACAUGGGGUUCACAGCCGAAGCAAAAGUGUUAAGUACCCCGCCUGGGGAGUAUGGUCGCAAGGCUGAAACUCAAAGGAAUUGACGGGGGCUCACACAAGCGGUGGAGCAUGUGGCUUAAUUCGAGGCUACGCGAAGAACCUUAUCCUA